UUUGUCUUGUAAUUGGAAUGAUGGGAAUCUAAACCCUUCCCAGAGUAUCAAUUGGAGGGCAAGUCUGGUGCCAGCAGCCGCGGUAAUUCCAGCUCCAAUAGCGUAUAUUAAAGUUGUUGCAGUUAAGAAGCUCGUAGUUGAAUUUCUGCCUUGUCAUUAAUCUCGCUUCCGAGCGUUUUUUUAUUGACUUGGCAUCUUCUGGAUUUGGUGCCUUCGGGUACUAUUUUCCAGGAUUUACUUUGAGAAAACUAGAGUGUUUCAAACAGGCAUUCGCCUUGAAUACUACAGCAUGGAAUAAUGAAGUAGGACUUUGGUUCUAUUUUGUUGGUUAUUGAGCCAGAGUAAUGGUUAAUAGGAGCAGUUGGGGGCAUUCGUAUUUAACUGUCAGAGGUGAAAUUCUUAGAUUUGUUAAAGACGAACUACUGCG
Molecule: ribosomal RNA, 427 nt
Filed under: Babesia microti
Lineage: Eukaryota; Apicomplexa; Aconoidasida; Piroplasmida; Babesiidae
Description: SSU rRNA
Rfam family: Eukaryotic small subunit ribosomal RNA
Source: RNAcentral